Molecule: ribosomal RNA, 497 nt
Filed under: uncultured bacterium
Lineage: Bacteria
Description: partial 16S ribosomal RNA
Rfam family: Bacterial small subunit ribosomal RNA
Source: RNAcentral
GAUGAACGCUGGCGGCGUGCCUAAUACAUGCAAGUCGAGCGAACGGACGAGAAGCUUGCUUCUCUGAUGUUAGCGGCGGACGGGUGAGUAACACGUGGAUAACCUACCUAUAAGACUGGGAUAACUUCGGGAAACCGGAGCUAAUACCGGAUAAUAUUUUGAACCGCAUGGUUCAAAAGUGAAAGACGGUCUUGCUGUCACUUAUAGAUGGAUCCGCGCUGCAUUAGCUAGUUGGUAAGGUAACGGCUUACCAAGGCAACGAUGCAUAGCCGACCUGAGAGGGUGAUCGGCCACACUGGAACGUAGAAGAGGUCCAGACUCCUACGGGAGGCAGCAGGAGGGAAUCUUCCGCAAUGGGCGAAAGCCUGACGGAGCAACGCCGCGUGAGUGAUGAAGGUCUUCGGAUCGUAAAACUCUGUUAUUAGGGAAGAACAUAUGUGUAAGUAACUGUGCACAUCUUGACGGUACCUAAUCAGAAAGCCACGGCUAACUACGUG